Molecule: ribosomal RNA, 388 nt
Filed under: Gromphadorhina oblongonota
Lineage: Eukaryota; Metazoa; Arthropoda; Insecta; Blattodea; Blaberidae
Description: partial 12S ribosomal RNA
Source: RNAcentral
GGAUUAGAUACCCUAUUAUUUUAAAUGUAAAGUUGUAGAAUUAGAGUAGUACUAGUUAUGGUCUUGAAACUUAAAGAAUUUGGCGGUAUUUUAGUCUAUUUAGAGGAAUCUGUCCCUUAAUCGAUAGUCCACGUUGAACCUUACUUAAUUUAGGUAUGUAUACCGCCGUUGAUGAAAAUCUUUAUAGGGUGAAUUUCUUGAUUUUUUAUUAGUAAAAAUUUCAGGUCAAGGUGCAGCUUAUAGUUAAGUGGAGAUGGAUUACAAUAUUAUCAGAUAAACGAAUUUUUGUAUUAAAAUUGGAAUGAAGGUGGAUUUAAUUGUAAAUUUGUGAAGAUUUUCAGGUUGAUAAAAGCUCUAAGAUGUGCACACAUCGCCCGUCACUCUCGUU